RNAcentral lists this ribosomal RNA (327 nucleotides) under uncultured bacterium. RNAcentral describes it as "bacterial SSU rRNA". It matches the Rfam family "Bacterial small subunit ribosomal RNA", at positions 28 to 334 of the family's 1533-position model. The record is from RNAcentral.
GAUGAACGCUGGCGGCGUGCUUAACACAUGCAAGUCGAACGAAGAAGAGUUGAAUGAGAGCUUCGGCAGGAUUUCUUCUCAUCUUAGUGGCGGACGGGUGAGUAACGUGUGGGCAACCUGCCCUAUACUGGGGAAUAAUCACUGGAAACGGUGACUAAUACCGCAUAAUGUACAGAGGGGGCAUCCCUUUUGUAUCAAAGGAGAAAUCCGCUGAAAGAUGGGCUCACGUCUGAUUAGCUGGUUGGUGGGGUAAAGGCCUACCAAGGCUGCGAUCAGUAGCCGGACUGAGAGGUUGAACGGCCACAUUGGGACUGAGAUACGGCCCAG